RNAcentral lists this ribosomal RNA (490 nucleotides) under uncultured bacterium. RNAcentral describes it as "partial 16S ribosomal RNA". It matches the Rfam family "Bacterial small subunit ribosomal RNA", at positions 30 to 507 of the family's 1533-position model. The record is from RNAcentral.
AUUGAACGCUGGCGGCAGGCCUAACACAUGCAAGUCGAACGGUAACAGGAAGCAGCUUGCUGCUUUGCUGACGAGUGGCGGACGGGUGAGUAAUGUCUGGGAAACUGCCCGAUGGAGGGGGAUAACUACUGGAAACGAUAGCUAAUACCGCAUAACGUCGCAAGACCAAAGAGGGGGACCUUAGGGCCUCUUGCCAUCGGAUGUGCCCAGAUGGGAUUAGCUAGUAGGUGGGGUAACGGCUCACCUAGGCGACGAUCCCUAGCUGGUCUGAGAGGAUGACCAGCCACACUGGAACUGAGACACGGUCCAGACUCCUACGGGAGGCAGCAGUGGGGAAUAUUGAACAAUGGGCGCAAGCCUGAUGCAGCCAUGCCGCGUGUAUGAAGAAGGCCUUCGGGUUGUAAAGUACUUUCAGCGGGGAGGAAGGGAGUAAAGUUAAUACCUUUGCUCAUUGACGUUACCCGCAGAAGAAGCACCGGCUAACUCCGUG